This 253-nucleotide ribosomal RNA is filed under the name uncultured bacterium. RNAcentral's name for it is "partial 16S ribosomal RNA". It matches the Rfam family "Bacterial small subunit ribosomal RNA", at positions 524 to 776 of the family's 1533-position model. The record is from RNAcentral.
GACGGAGGAUGCAAGUGUUAUCCGGAAUCACUGGGCGUAAAGCGUCUGUAGGUGGUUUAAUAAGUCACCUGUUAAAUCUUGAGGCUCAACCUCAAAAUCGCAGUCGAAACUAUUAGGCUAGAGUAUAGUAGGGGUAAAGGGAAUUUCCAGUGGAGCGGUGAAAUGCGUAGAGAUUGGAAAGAACACCGAUGGCGAAGGCACUUUACUGGGCUAUUACUAACACUCAGAGACGAAAGCUAGGGUAGCAAAUGGG